This 440-nucleotide ribosomal RNA is filed under the name uncultured bacterium. RNAcentral's name for it is "bacterial SSU rRNA". It matches the Rfam family "Bacterial small subunit ribosomal RNA", at positions 338 to 795 of the family's 1533-position model. The record is from RNAcentral.
CCUACGGGUGGCAGCAGUGGGGAAUAUUGGACAAUGGGGGAAACCCUGAUCCAGCAAUGCCGCGUGCGUGACGAAGGCCUUCGGGUUGUAAAGCGCUUUCGCCCGCGACGAUGAUGACGGUAGCGGGAGAAGAAGCCCCGGCUAACUCCGUGCCAGCAGCCGCGGUAAUACGGAGGGGGCUAGCGUUGUUCGGAAUUACUGGGCGUAAAGGGUGCGUAGGCGGUAUUCCAAGUCGGGCGUGAAAGGCCUGGGCUCAACCCGGGAACUGCGUUCGAGACUGGCAUACUGGAGUCCGGGAGAGGUGAGCGGAAUUCCCAGUGUAGAGGUGAAAUUCGUAGAUAUUGGGAAGAACACCGGUGGCGAAGGCGGCUCACUGGACCGGUACUGACGCUGAGGCACGACAGCGUGGGGAGCAAACAGGAUUAGAUACCCCUGUAGUC